GUCAGGGUGGCAGAGCCCGGUUAAUGCAGAAGACCUAAGCCCUUUAAACAGAGGUUCAAGUCCUCUCCCUGACU
Molecule: non-coding RNA, 74 nt
Organism: Cyprinodon variegatus (sheepshead minnow)
Lineage: Eukaryota; Metazoa; Chordata; Actinopteri; Cyprinodontiformes; Cyprinodontidae
Source: Ensembl